This 392-nucleotide ribosomal RNA is filed under the name uncultured bacterium. Its description in RNAcentral is "bacterial SSU rRNA". It matches the Rfam family "Bacterial small subunit ribosomal RNA", at positions 29 to 416 of the family's 1533-position model. The record is from RNAcentral.
AGUGAACGCUGGCGGCAGGCCUAACACAUGCAAGUCGAACGGCAGCGCAGCAGUAGCAAUACUGUGGGCGGCGAGUGGCGGACGGGUGAGGAAUACAUCGGAAUCUACCUUGUCGUGGGGGAUAACGUAGGGAAACUUACGCUAAUACCGCAUACGAACUAUGGUUGAAAGCGGCGGACCGCAAGGCGUCGCGCGAUUGGAUGAGCCGAUGUCCGAUUAGCUAGUUGGCGGGGUAAAGGCCCACCAAGGCGACGAUCGGUAGCUGGUCUGAGAGGAUGAUCAGCCACACUGGAACUGAGACACGGUCCAGACUCCUACGGGAGGCAGCAGUGGGGAAUAUUGGACAAUGGGCGCAAGCCUGAUCCAGCCAUGCCGCGUGUGUGAAGAAGGCC